This 473-nucleotide ribosomal RNA is filed under the name bacterium 5a.3. RNAcentral's name for it is "bacterial SSU rRNA". It matches the Rfam family "Bacterial small subunit ribosomal RNA", at positions 398 to 864 of the family's 1533-position model. The record is from RNAcentral.
CGCGUGAGUGAAGAAGGCCUUCGGGUUGUAAAGCUCUUUUGUCAGGGAAGAAACGGCCUGUUCUAAUACAGUGGGCUAAUGACGGUACCUGAAGAAUAAGCACCGGCUAACUACGUGCCAGCAGCCGCGGUAAUACGUAGGGUGCAAGCGUUAAUCGGAAUUACUGGGCGUAAAGCGUGCGCAGGCGGUUUUGUAAGUUUGUCGUGAAAUCCCCGGGCUCAACCUGGGAAUGGCGAUGAAGACUGCAAGGCUAGAGUUUGGCAGAGGGGGGUAGAAUUCCACGUGUAGCAGUGAAAUGCGUAGAUAUGUGGAGGAACACCGAUGGCGAAGGCAGCCCCCUGGGUCAAAACUGACGCUCAUGCACGAAAGCGUGGGGAGCAAACAGGAUUAGAUACCCUGGUAGUCCACGCCCUAAACGAUGUCUACUAGUUGUCGGGUCUUAAUUGACUUGGUAACGCAGCUAACGCGUGAAG